This 2950-nucleotide long non-coding RNA is filed under the name Triticum aestivum (bread wheat). Its description in RNAcentral is "long non-coding RNA (TAES_LNC019377)". The record is from RNAcentral. Lineage: Eukaryota; Viridiplantae; Streptophyta; Magnoliopsida; Poales; Poaceae.
CCAGACUUCCUUCUCUCCUCCACCGGCACAACUAUGAGAGAGAGACCUCAAAGCACAUCUAUGAGAGGGGAAACAGAUCGAGGAAGAGGGAGCAGCCGCACCAAAUCGAGUGGCUUGCUCGUCCAUUACCAAGGUUUGGAAGGGGAUGCUCUUGUAGGCCAGGCCUGACCGAGGCUGGGCCAUGCGUUUGAGCGGCGGAUCCUGCGUCGCCCAGCAGUGAGGCCGCAUCUCGCCGAUCUGGAGAGGCAAAGCGGUCGGCAGGGAGGCCAUGACAGAAUAUGAGAAGUCCCUUGUUGGUUGCUUCGCAGAGUGCGCUGCUCUCUGGUUCAUGGCGUUGGGACCCAAAACAUCUUAUCCGUAGUGUUCCUCGUCCUCUAUGACAGAGUUUAUGAAGGUCUAACUACUCUCCCAUUGUCUUUUGCAACCUCCUCUUGCUGGCACUAUAUAUGUAGUACUUCAUAAGUCGAUUUACAUAGUUGAUUUGUUAAAUUUACUCAUAUGCAAGGUUAUGAUUCCAAACUUUGACUUUUUUAUAGCAUUUGCGUGUACAUCGAAGCACCAAUUAUGUAGUACAUACCGGUAAUUAUAAUUUAGGAGAUGACCUCAUACAUUGACUUGCCAAUUGCCAUUGUUGUGCCUUGCGUUUUUGUAGGGAAUUAAAUUUACAUUUUUCUAUUGACAUUCUAGCCAAAUUCAAUUGGUAUCUCUUCAACACAUACAUAGUAAUUUGGUUCGGCAAUUUUAGAAGGUUAUUUACGGAAGAGCAAGUUCUUUUAACAGUCUAGGCUGCACUUGUUAACACACACACACAUAUAUAGGGUGGGUCUAUUCUAACAACACCCUUAAGGCUCUUAUUCUGCACACAAAAUCCUUAUUCUGCUAACACUAGAAAACUAUUCAGCCCCGCACCCACCCCGAACUAAACCAGGCCACCUACCACUAACCCACGAUCCCCUCCACCUUCGUCCGCAGAUGCCACCCCCCACCACCGGCCAGCCUUCCCCGCUCCGCCGCCCACCCACCACCCCCUCCACCAACCUUCUGCCGUUGCUGGCCCGGCACUAGGGGCAGUUGCCGGUAGCGCACCACCCCGUCGCUCCACCUCCAGUGAGCUAGCGACGGGAUCCGGCCCUCCCCAACCAACAUCGCACCCCUACCUUCUUCCCCUACACCUUCUUCCCCCUCACUCCGCCGGCGCCGCCAGCAGUAGACCCGCCCCGGCGAUCCCCUCCACCUUCCUCCGACACGGGGCUCCGCCGCCUUGCCCAGGACCAAGAUAUCGUGCUCCUUCGCCACUGGAUCCCGUUGUCGGCCACACCGCGACGAGCUCGGGCAUCACGAGCCGCCGCGAGGCCAACCAUCGCCGGAUUCGGACAACCGUGGCCCCACACGACCCGCCAUCGUCGAUUCGUAGCCCGCAAGGCCUCGCGCGAGCCGCCUCCUUUCCCUUCGUCGCAUGGGGCCGCCCCACCUUCUCCUCCUCCUUGGUUCAGAUCGAGCCAAGGACGAGCUUUCUCCUCCUCGUUGCGGUCCCCGACCAUGGCGCCAUCUGUGCUGCUCGGCCGCCACCCCACCUCGUGCAGCUUGGUCGUCGCCCCUGUGCAGCUCGCCCCCUCCCCUCGUGCAUCUCGGUCCCCGGCCAAGGCUUCCAUCCUCCAGAUCCGGCAGCCAUGGCUUCCGCUGCCUCCUCUACGCCUGUAAUGGCGGCGACAACCACCCGUGCAAUACAGAAAAGGGCUUAUUUCUUCUUUUUUGCUGUGUUGGAUGUGCAGUGCUGCUAGAUCCUGCAAGCAAUACGUUGUGUGCCUUCGUGUGGUUCAUCCACGACCGCCGCGAAUCCCCUCCCUUCCAUACCCUCUCUAUUCCACAGUCGGGCACGCUCCUCACGGGGCUGCUACUGGUCUGAGCACCGUGGGACGAGCUCGAGCGCCUGGUCUCCUUGCGGGUGCGUGAUGGAGGGAUGCAAGUCAGGGAGGAUGAUUGGCGUGCAGGUUCCGUAGUACUGCCUGACCGAGCCAUCCACAUACGUGGGUGUCGUGCCAGUGUUGUUCGUCGUGGACGCAUGGUGCAGUGCACCUCGUCGUGUGGUGCGGUUCAGAACAGUUUCUUACCACAUUUUUUCUAGAUUUUGCAUGUGCGAUUCAGUCACAUCACUUGAGCAAAAUAAUUUUGUGUGUAUUUUUUUAGAUUAUGGCUGUUGAUUUGGGUGAAUUCAGUUUCUAAUGAAGUUUGUUAAAUCCCUCUGUGUAGUUCGGCUGGCGCCGACAUGAGGUUCACUUCUACAUGGUAGCUUGGAUGCCUUGGCAUUGCACAUCGUCAUUUGUUGUGGUGCCGUGCGGGUGUGUGCGGCGUGCAGCUCGAAGCAAGCGGGCAUGCAGUUUAGACCGUUGUUUGCGGGUUUUUUUGUCUAUCAAAUGUAUCCGAUUAUGAUGUAUUGUGUGUAAAAAAUAUUUGUUGAGAAGUUUAUUUCAACAAGCAUUAAUGGUUCAUUUUCGAGAGGGAAAAUUUGUUGAUGAAGGCCACUUCGAGGAGUCUUGUGGUUCAUUGUAUUCAAUGAGGAGUCUUGUUGUCUCAUGCAGUUUGCUAUAAAAACUGAUAGAUAUGGCUUUGAAGCUCACUUAGUUGUCCCAUGCAGUUUGCUAUAAAACUUCUACGUGGUUCACUUGUCCCACUUGUAAAACACUUAUAAAAUAGAAAAAAAACACUUGUAAAACAGGGAAAAAUAAUAUCUCAAAGAAACUCGCUUCUAUAUUAGAUGUAGUUCACUCGCUUGGUCAACGCGCAUAAAAAACUUGUAAAACAGGGAAAAAUAAUAUCUCAAAGAAGCUCGCUUCUAUAUUAGAUGUAGUUCACUCGCUCAGUCACUGUGGUCCACUCGCUUGGUCAACACGCAUAAAAACUUGUAAAACAGGGGAAAAAUAUCUCAAAGAAGCCGGCUUCUAUAUUAGAU